UACAGAGGUCUCAAGCGUUGUUCGGAUUCAUUGGGCGUAAAGGGUGCGUAGGCGGCGGGGCAAGUCUGAUGUGAAAUCCUGGGGCUCAACCCUGGAACUGCAUUGGAUACUGCCUUGCUAGAGUACUGGAGAGGAAACUGGAAUUUACGGUGUAGCAGUGAAAUGCGUAGAUAUCGUAAGGAAGACCAGUGGCGAAGGCGAGUCCCUGGAAAACACCUGACACUGAGGCACGAAAGCUAGGGGAGCAAACGGG
Molecule: ribosomal RNA, 253 nt
Filed under: uncultured bacterium
Lineage: Bacteria
Description: partial 16S ribosomal RNA
Rfam family: Bacterial small subunit ribosomal RNA
Source: RNAcentral